UCCUACGGGAGGCAGCAGUCGAGAGGCUUCGGCAAUGGGGGAAACCCUGACCGAGUGACGCCGCGUGGGCGAUGAAGGUCGUAAGAUCGUAAAGCCCUGUCAGAGGGGAAGAAACCCUGGGGUGUUAAUACCACCUCAGCUUGACGUUACCCUCAGAGGAAGCUCCGGCUAACUCCGUGCCAGCAGCCGCGGUAACACGGGGGGAGCGAACGUUGUUCGGAAUCACUGGGCGUAAAGGGCGCGCAGGCGGCCUGGUCAGUGAGACGUGAAAGCCCCUGGCUUAACCAGGGAAUUGCGUCUCAUGCUGCCAGGCUUGAGGACGGGAGAGGAAACGGGAAUUCCCGGUGUAGCGGUGACAUGCACUGAUAUCGGGAGGAACACCAGUGGCGAAGGCGCGUUUCUGGCCCGUUCCUGACGCUCAGGCGCGAAAGCUGGGGGAGCAAACAGGAUUAGAUACCCUGGUAGUCCCAGCCGUAAACGGUGAACACUAGGUGUGGGGGGCAUCGACCCCUUCCGUGCCGUAGCUAACGCAUUAAGUGUUCCGCCUGGGGAGUACGAUCGCAAGGUUGAAACUCAAAUGAAUUGACGGGGCCCCGCACAAGCGGCGGAGCAUGCGGCUUAAUUCGAUGCAACCCGAAGAACCUUACCUGGGCUUGACAUCAUGGGUCUAUCCCUAGAGAUAGGGAGUGCUUACGCGUCCAUGACAGGUGGUGCAUGGCUGUCGUCAGCUCGUGUCGUGAGAUGUUGGGUUAAGUCCCGCACGAGCGCAACCCCUGUCCUAUGUUGCCAGCAUUUAGUGGGGACUCAUAGGAGACUGCCGAGACACUCGGAGGAAGGCGGGAACGAACGUUCAAGUCCAUCAUGCCCU
RNAcentral lists this ribosomal RNA (868 nucleotides) under uncultured bacterium. RNAcentral's name for it is "bacterial SSU rRNA". It matches the Rfam family "Bacterial small subunit ribosomal RNA", at positions 337 to 1201 of the family's 1533-position model. The record is from RNAcentral.